GUGCUUGCUCCAGCGGCACAUAUACUAAAAUUGGAACUUUACAGAGAUUAGCAUGGCCCCUGCGCAAGGAUGACACAUAAAUUCAUGAAGCAUUUCAUAUUUUU
Molecule: small nuclear RNA, 104 nt
Filed under: Dasypus novemcinctus (nine-banded armadillo)
Lineage: Eukaryota; Metazoa; Chordata; Mammalia; Cingulata; Dasypodidae
Source: RNAcentral